GACGAACGCUGGCGGCGUGCUUAACACAUGCAAGUCGAACGGAAAGGCCCUGCUUUUGUGGGGUGCUCGAGUGGCGAACGGGUGAGUAACACGUGAGUAACCUGCCCUUGACUUUGGGAUAACUUCAGGAAACUGGGGCUAAUACCGGAUAGGAGCUCCUGCUGCAUGGUGGGGGUUGGAAAGUUUCGGCGGUUGGGGAUGGACUCGCGGCUUAUCAGCUUGUUGGUGGGGUAGUGGCUUACCAAGGCUUUGACGGGUAGCCGGCCUGUGAGGGUGACCGGCCCCAUUGGGACUGAGAUACGGCCCAGACUCCUACGGGAGGCAGCAGUGGGGAAUAUUGCACAAUGGGCGGAAGCCUGAUGCAGCAACGCCGCGUGCGGGAUGACGGCCUUCGGGUUGUAAACCGCUUUCGCCUGUGACGAAGCGUGAGUGACGGUAAUGGGUAAAGAAGCACCGGCUAACUACGUG
RNAcentral lists this ribosomal RNA (468 nucleotides) under uncultured bacterium. RNAcentral's name for it is "partial 16S ribosomal RNA". It matches the Rfam family "Bacterial small subunit ribosomal RNA", at positions 28 to 507 of the family's 1533-position model. The record is from RNAcentral.